GGUGCUAACAAAGAUCUGAGGUUAUACACACAUGACCUAUCACCCACACCCACCCGAUUGGGAGGGGUUGCCUCUCCCUGUGUCCACACAUAUGCCUUGAGUUGCUCUUCAGUGAAUAUCACUUUUCCUUUCAUGUUUUUUCUACAUGCUAUUAUCUGUAUGAAAUGAAGACCAAGAAAGGAUGGGAAGAAGGAGAAGAAAAAUUUUGAUUUAUCUCAGAAACUAUACUCCGAAGUGAGAGUCCUGGUUGCAGGUGCAACUGAAGGACUAUGGCUAUGGUAGCUGCCCAGGAAGACUGGCCAUCCGAUUCAUGCUUGUGCAGUCCUUGGACUUUUAGAUCUACCAGGAUCAUCACAUUUUGGAGUUCUCAGUCCUGUGUACAAAGUCCAACUAUCUGAGGCCACCAUGCACUUAGGAUGUCCAGGCCACCUGGAGAGGCUACCAGAUAUGUGUAUGAAGAAGUUGUCUUGAAAGUGGAUCUUCCAGCCCAUGUUAUUCUAGCUACAGCUGUUUGAGUCUCCUUGUACAAGCCCCAGACAUCAUGGAAUGGAGAAGAGCUGAGCCACGGUGUCCUCUCCAAAUUCUCAAUCCACAAAACUCAUGAAAAUAAUAAAAUGAUUGUGUCUUUGUGCUACUAAAUUUAGGGAAAUUUGUUAUUCAGCAAAGAUGAUUAGAACAAGAGACCACAAUUUGACUAUCAUAUUUCAGAAAUGACACAGAUCCAGAGAGGUUAAAUAAAUCAUUUUAUUCAAAUGAA
Molecule: long non-coding RNA, 757 nt
Organism: Homo sapiens (human)
Lineage: Eukaryota; Metazoa; Chordata; Mammalia; Primates; Hominidae
Product: long intergenic non-protein coding RNA 2208
Source: Ensembl